AUUGAACGCUGGCGGCAUGCCUAACACAUGCAAGUCGAACGGCAGCACAGUAACAGGUUGCGCUUAGGGGCGGAGAGUGGAGGAAUAGUGAGGAAUGUACCGGAUUCUACGGUUUCAUGGGGGAUAACGUAGGGUAAUUUACGCUAAGACCUCAUACGACCUACGGGGGAAAGCAGGGGAUCUUCGGGCCUUGCGGGAUGGAAGGAGCCGAUGUCGGAUUAGCUAGAUAGCGGGGUAAAGGCGUACCAAGGCGACGAUCCGUAGCUGGUCUGAGAGGAUGAUCCGCCACACUGGAACUGAGACACGGCCCAGACUCCUACGGGAGGCAGCAGUGGGGAAUAUUGGACAAUGGGCGCAAGCCUGAUCCAGCCAUACCGCGUGGAUGAUGAAGGCCUUCGGGUUGUAAAGCGCUUUUGUUCGGAAAGAAAAGCAGCCGUUUAAUACAGGGCUGUUAUGACGGUACCGAAAGAAUAAGCACCGGCUAACUUCGUG
Molecule: ribosomal RNA, 492 nt
Filed under: uncultured bacterium
Lineage: Bacteria
Description: partial 16S ribosomal RNA
Rfam family: Bacterial small subunit ribosomal RNA
Source: RNAcentral